UACGAAGGGGGCUAGCGUUGUUCGGAAUUACUGGGCGUAAAGCGCGCGUAGGCGGUUUUUCAAGUCAGUGGUGAAAGCCCGGGGCUCAACCCCGGAAUAGCCUUUGAAACUGGAAAACUAGAAUCUUGGAGAGGUCAGUGGAAUUCCGAGUGUAGAGGUGAAAUUCGUAGAUAUUCGGAAGAACACCAGUGGCGAAGGCGACUGACUGGACAAGUAUUGACGCUGAGGUGCGAAAGCGUGGGGAGCAAACAGG
RNAcentral lists this ribosomal RNA (253 nucleotides) under uncultured bacterium. RNAcentral describes it as "partial 16S ribosomal RNA". It matches the Rfam family "Bacterial small subunit ribosomal RNA", at positions 524 to 776 of the family's 1533-position model. The record is from RNAcentral.